UUAAUAUGAAACGAUUAUAAGAAAGAAAAGAAGAAAUGUAUUAAUAUUUUUAAAAUAUAAAUACAUAUUUCUUUUUUUUAAUGUACUUUUUUUAUAAAAGGUGUAAAUAAUAUUUUAGAUAUUGUUAUACUAAUUUAUAAAAAUUGUACGAAAAUUUGAUAUUACAUAAUAAAAUUAUUUUUUAUUAAAUAAUUUAUGUAAUAUCAAAUUUUCAUCAACAAUAUUGAAUACUCAAACUUUUUACAUAAUUAUCUGUUUUAUUAUAUAUAUAUAUAUAUUAUAAUAAUAUCUUUAUGAGUUAGUUAUAUUUUGAAGAAAAAUAUAUAUUUUUUUAUAUUAUAUAUAUUAUUAUAAAUAUAUGUAAUUCUUUUAAGUAUAAUAAUAAUAAUGAAUAUAGCA
RNAcentral lists this ribosomal RNA (399 nucleotides) under Plasmodium praefalciparum (nom. ined.). RNAcentral's name for it is "Plasmodium sp. gorilla clade G1 rRNA". Lineage: Eukaryota; Apicomplexa; Aconoidasida; Haemosporida; Plasmodiidae. The record is from RNAcentral.